AGUGGCGGACGGGUGAGUAACGCGUGGGUAACCUGCCUCACACUGGGGGACAACAGUUAGAAAUGACUGCUAAUACCGCAUAAGCGCACAGGACCGCAUGGUCCGGUGUGAAAAACUCCGGUGGUGUGAGAUGGACCCGCGUUUGAUUAGCUAGUUGGUGGGGUAACGGCCUACCAAGGCGACGAUCAAUAGCCGACCUGAGAGGGUGACCGGCCACAUUGGGACUGAGACACGGCCCAAACUCCUACGGGAGGCAGCAGUGGGGAAUAUUGGGCAAUGGGGGAAACCCUGACCCAGCAACGCCGCGUGAAGGAAGAAGGCUUUCGGGUUGUAAACUUCUUUUACCAGGGACGAAGAAAGUGACGGUACCUGGAGAAAAAGCCACGGCUAACUACGUGCCAGCAGCCGCGGUAAUACGUAGGUGGCAAGCGUUGUCCGGAUUUACUGGGUGUAAAGGGCGUGUAGGCGGAGAUGCAAGUCAGAUGUGAAAUCCCCGGGCUUAACCCGGGAACUGCAUUUGAAACUGUAUCCCUUGAGUAUCGGAGAGGCAGGCGGAAUUCCUAGUGUAGCGGUGAAAUGCGUAGAUAUUAGGAGGAACACCAGUGGCGAAGGCGGCCUGCUGGACGACAACUGACGCUGA
This 640-nucleotide ribosomal RNA is filed under the name uncultured Lachnospiraceae bacterium. RNAcentral describes it as "bacterial SSU rRNA". It matches the Rfam family "Bacterial small subunit ribosomal RNA", at positions 94 to 749 of the family's 1533-position model. The record is from RNAcentral. Lineage: Bacteria; Bacillati; Bacillota; Clostridia; Lachnospirales; Lachnospiraceae.